GCGGUGGAGCAUGUGGUUUAAUUCGAUGAUACGCGAGGAACCUUACCUGGGCUCAAAUGUAUGUUGACGUAUUCUGAAAGGGAUACUUCUUCGGACAAUAUACAAGGUGCUGCAUGGUUGUCGUCAGCUCGUGCCGUGAGGUGUCGGGUUAAGUCCCAUAACGAGCGCAACCCCUAUCAUUAGUUGCCAUCAGGUCAAGCUGGGGACUCUAAUGAAACUGCCUACGCAAGUAGUGAGGAAGGUGGGAAUGACGUCAAAUCAGCACGGCCCUUACGUCCAGGGCUACACACGUGCUACAAUGGCCGGUACAAAGGGCAGCUACCUGGUGACAGGAUGCUAAUCUCAAAAGCCGGUCUCAGUACGGAUUGGAGUCUGCAACCCGACUCCAUGAAGUUGGAAUCGCUAGUAAUCGCGCAUCAGCAUGGCGCGGUGAAUACGUUCCCGGGCCUU
This 450-nucleotide ribosomal RNA is filed under the name uncultured Sphingobacteriales bacterium. RNAcentral describes it as "bacterial SSU rRNA". It matches the Rfam family "Bacterial small subunit ribosomal RNA", at positions 929 to 1382 of the family's 1533-position model. Lineage: Bacteria; Pseudomonadati; Bacteroidota; Sphingobacteriia; Sphingobacteriales. The record is from RNAcentral.